RNAcentral lists this ribosomal RNA (253 nucleotides) under uncultured bacterium. Its description in RNAcentral is "partial 16S ribosomal RNA". It matches the Rfam family "Bacterial small subunit ribosomal RNA", at positions 524 to 776 of the family's 1533-position model. The record is from RNAcentral.
CACGUAGGGCGCAAGCGUUGUCCGGAAUUAUUGGGCGUAAAGAGCUCGUAGGCGGUCUGUUGCGUCCGCUGUGAAAACUCGGGGCUCAACCCCGGGCGUGCAUCCGAUACUGCCGGGCUUGAGGCAGGUAGGGGAGAUCGGAAUUCCUGGUGUAGCGGUGAAAUGCGCAGAUAUCAGGAGGAACACCGGUGGCGAAGGCGGAUCUCUGGGCCUGUCCUGACGCUGAGGCGCGAAAGCUAGGGGAGCGAACAGG